Impatiens glandulifera is the source of this 709-nucleotide long non-coding RNA. RefSeq lists it as uncharacterized. Lineage: Eukaryota; Viridiplantae; Streptophyta; Magnoliopsida; Ericales; Balsaminaceae. The transcript is spliced from 2 exons. The record is from RefSeq and is a predicted model, not a curated record.
CAUUUUUGGGGCUAUGUCAUUGAAACUGUGAUGCCCUAACAUAGGAUGACGAAUCUAUGAAAGCUCUAGGGAAUUCGCCGUGAACUCCACCUCCACGCUUCCACCACCUCACUGCAGCCGCCUCUAACGGACGUCACGCACCACCUCCUUUCACAGCUUCGGCUCCCGUUCAAAACACCGUCCAGUCCACCAUUGCCAGAGAUAUAGAGGUGCUUUGAAUAAAGAAAGAUGAAUGGUAUUUGGAGAUCUCCAUGGAAGAGUUUUACUUGCUCGAGUCCAGGGUUCAUGACCUCAUUGAAUUCAUCCCUUCAUCAAUGGCGAGGGAUUCGGGUCAAAGUUAGAGACAGUAAUCUGGAGCAAGCACUGGCUUUUAUGCAGAGGAAAAUGCAAUCAAGCGGAAUUGAACGUUUGAUAAAGAAUGAACAGCUUUAUCAUAUCAAGAAUUCUGAGAAACGAGUCCUUGCUCGUAAGGCCCUUGAGAGAAAGUUAAGAUCAAAAGAACUUGCUCGCAAACUUCAGGCAGUCCUUGUUAAGAAAGUGAGGGGCAUGUAAACAGCAAUAAUGGUUAUCUUCUUCAAGAAUUUGUCUUCAUCUUUUGACAGACAGUUGCUAGUUUGAUUGGUCUUUUUUUUUACAUUUCAUGAUCAACUGAAAACAAACAUGCCUUAUUCUAAAAUGAUUUUAACAAUAGUGUUAGACUUGUUUUCUA